RNAcentral lists this ribosomal RNA (484 nucleotides) under uncultured bacterium. RNAcentral's name for it is "partial 16S ribosomal RNA". It matches the Rfam family "Bacterial small subunit ribosomal RNA", at positions 30 to 507 of the family's 1533-position model. The record is from RNAcentral.
AUUGAACGCUGGCGGCAGGCCUAACACAUGCAAGUCGAGCGGAUGAAGGGAGCUUGCUCCUGGAUUCAGCGGCGGACGGGUGAGUAAUGCCUAGGAAUCUGCCUGGUAGUGGGGGAUAACGUCCGGACACGGGCGCUAAUACCGCAUACGUCCUGAGGGAGAAAGUGGGGGAUCUUCGGACCUCACGCUAUCAGAUGGGCCUAGGUCGGAUUAGCUAGUUGGUGGGGUAAAGGCCUACCAAGGCGACGAUCCGUAACUGGUCUGAGAGGAUGAUCAGUCACACUGGAACUGAGACACGGUCCAGACUCCUACGGGAGGCAGCAGUAGGGAAUAUUGGACAAUGGGCGAAAGCCUGAUCCAGCCAUGCCGCGUGUGUGAAGAAGGUCUUCGGAUUGUAAAGCACUUUAAGUUGGGAGGAAGGGAAGUAAGUUAAUACCUUGCUGUUUUGACGUUACCAACAGAAUAAGCACCGGCUAACUUCGUG